CUGACGCAGCAACGCCGCGUGAGUGAUGAAGGCCUUCGGGUUGUAAAGCUCUUUCGGCUGGGAAGAAGGG
Molecule: ribosomal RNA, 70 nt
Filed under: uncultured bacterium
Lineage: Bacteria
Description: partial 16S ribosomal RNA
Source: RNAcentral